GGGGGGAUAACAUCCGGAAACGGGUGCUAAUACCGCAUAGUUUUCUUGAUUGCAUGAUUGAGAAAGGAAAGACGGCCUUUGUGCUGUCGCUUAUGGAUGGACCCGCGGCGUAUUAGUUAGUUGGUGAGGUAACGGCUCACCAAGACGAUGAUACGUAGCCGACCUGAGAGGGUGAUCGGCCACGAUUGGGACUGAGACACGGCCCAAACUCCUACGGGAGGCAGCAGUAGGGGAAUCUUCCGCAAGUGGACGAAAGUCUGACGGAGCAACGCCGCGUGAGUGAAAAGAAGGUUUUUCGGAUCGUAAAACUCUGUUGUCAGAGAAGAACAAGUUGGAGAGUAACUGCUCCAGCCUUGACGGUAUCUGACCAGAAAGCCACGGCUAACUACGUGCCAGCCGCGGC
This 403-nucleotide ribosomal RNA is filed under the name uncultured bacterium. Its description in RNAcentral is "bacterial SSU rRNA". It matches the Rfam family "Bacterial small subunit ribosomal RNA", at positions 137 to 518 of the family's 1533-position model. The record is from RNAcentral.